RNAcentral lists this long non-coding RNA (2176 nucleotides) under Mytilus galloprovincialis (Mediterranean mussel). The record is from RNAcentral. Lineage: Eukaryota; Metazoa; Mollusca; Bivalvia; Mytilida; Mytilidae.
AGAUAACACACUUUAUACGAGUAAAGUGAAAUACAUCAUCACAUGUGCUUUUAUCCAAUAAUUUGACCCAUGGUCAGUAGAUAUCAUAUGCAGUUAAUAAACAGUCAAACAUGUACAUGUAUUAAGGAAAUCAUGAAUUAUUAUUUGUAAUGCACACUAGCAAAUCACAAGAUAUUGUCUUUUCUCAGUGAAAAAGGGGGAGGAUCAACAAAACUUUUGAAAACAAUAUUGCUGCACCUUUUCAACUAUUAAGCUAGUUAGCUAGCACUCGUUGCUGCUAAUAUAAAAGAUUUAAAUGAAGGUUGAUAAGCCACAAGGGAGAAGCAUUUUUCUUUCUUUGCGAUAAAACUUUCAAGAAUUUGAUUUUUGCUCUCUCAAUAAUACUUAUGUAUUCUAAACCAAAUAAUAACACAGCCUGAGUAAUUUUUUUGUCUUAUUUCAGUUCCAGACAUAUCAUUACUUUUUAACCUGAGAUGGCAAACUAGAGGUUUUAAAAAGUCCUGAAUAACUGGUAAGCAUUUUGUUUUAUUUGGCAAGCUCUAAAUUGUUUAUUUAUGGUAUUUAUGCAAUUCAAAUUACAGUCGGUAUGUUAAAAAUAUACUGAUAUGAAAACUGUUGCUAUGGUCUUGGCAUUAAAUGAAAAUGCUUGGUUACUGAUCUUUUCGACUCCAUAUUUCAAGUUAAACCUUGCGGCAACUGUUCUUCAUGUAACACUGCAAACUAUAAUUAGCAUUAUUUUGAUAUGUCGUUAGUUAAUGACGCCAUAUUACGUGUGAUGCCACAAUGUUUCCUUUAAAACCUCAUGCCGAUAUCUCACUGAUAAAAGAUUUUCACUGAAAUACAUGUAAAAAACAUUUUUUCUCAAAUAGAAUUAUGUGAAAGAACAAGUUUUGAAAAUUUGCACUUCAUUGCACUCUAAUUAUAUGAUUCAAAUGACUUUUACAGUAGUUUAUAGUGGUUUCUACAGUAUAAAAUACAAGGUUUCCACUGGCUAGAAUAAUUAAGUAUUUUGGUGUUUUUUUAUGAAAUCUUCAUUUUUGCAUAAUUUCUCUGUCAAAAUGCACUUUUAGGCACCAGAAAAUUUUAUUGAAUGCUUUAACAGGGUCUGUGUGUUGUAAUUUAAGGUUACAUUCAGAUGUUUUGUCCUUCUUUUGACUAGUGAAGGUAUACUGGAAGAAAUUAAUUAUGCAUACACUUUGUAUUCAAAAUAAAUAAAUAUAGCGAUAAAAGUGUCAUUGCCUUAUAGUGCUGAAACAACUUUAUUUUUUUUCAGAAAUGGACAAAAAUACACAGAUUUAUUCAGAAUGUCAUACCGAUGAAGAUCACAUAAAAAUAUUUGGAAAAAUCAGAACUAUGGAUUGCAAUAUGGGACAACAUCCCUAAUGCGCCUCGAAAUGAGGAACUCAAAAGUCACGUGUAAAGAAAAAAUCUCUGUGUAAUGAUAUUGGACAUGUUUCUAUUUUUAACAAAUGACUGAACUUAAUUAUUUGUGGUGAUUAGGAAAGUAGAGGAACAUAGAAUAAAUGUGUAAAAACUAUGGAGCUAUUGAAUGUGUUCAAAGUAUUAAAUUUUCAAAGAACUUAUUGUGUUAAAAAGGGGAUAUUUUACCACAAGGAGCCGCAUCACAAAAGGAUGUUCGGGGUUUGCUAAUUUACGGAAAAAGUAAUCUCACUUCGUACCCCGAAAAUUUAACCACAUAUGUGAAAAUGUCACAGCUUCGAAACGAGCUAUCAUACAUAUCCAAGUUUACGAUAUGGACUGAGCUACAGGAAAAAACGUUACCAUUACCGCCUAUGUAAAAACAAUUAAAGAUAUUGAGCCAGAUAGAAAAAGCUCCAAAUGUAACGGUAAUUUUGUCGUGACGUCAUAUAUUGAAUGACGUCGUUAUUUGGCAUGUUACGUCACAGACGUCGAGCUGUCGUAUUUUGCGGCAUAUGAAAUGCAACCUUGAAAAACGGUCGGCAGCAAGAGGGUUAAGUAAGAGUGACUGGUUGGCUCGGAGUCAGAAUAAUGUGUUCGGGUAAGGUCAUAUGUUUUUUGUGCGGACUGUUUCCUUGUAAACUAGCACGUUAAAGUUCCGGUUCAGCGUGUCGGUCAGGUAAAUAAUACAUCAAAAGCAUGAUGUUCUCGGUCUGUAUAUGCCAUUGAUUUACCGCUCGAGGUAAAACAACCACCA